CAUGUGCGAAGGUUCUGGCCUUUACGUGGUGCACCGGACGAGUACGGCUAAGUGAAGUUGAUCACAGCGGGAAGCGAAAGAACC
Molecule: non-coding RNA, 84 nt
Filed under: unclassified sequences
Source: RNAcentral